Molecule: unclassified non-coding RNA, 440 nt
Filed under: Hevea brasiliensis (rubber tree)
Lineage: Eukaryota; Viridiplantae; Streptophyta; Magnoliopsida; Malpighiales; Euphorbiaceae
Source: RNAcentral
AUAAAAUUCUGAUUAAAGAAACUGACUGGAAAAUGAGAUAUUAUGCAAUAAAUUUACAGUAGUACUGAACACACAAAUAAAUAAAUAAAUAUGCCAUGACAUGGCUCAACACAGGCAGCCCUAAAGCUCAUGGGAAAUAUAGCUUUAGAAAUUUAUCACACACAUGGAAGGAGCAAACAUGUUCUGGACAACAGAGAGAGAUUCAUGUAUUCUCAUGAUUGAUACUAUGUAAAUACCAAGAUACCAAACAUUUUCUCAAGUGUAAAAAGAAUUUAAUAUUCUUGUGCGUAAUCAAAACAAAGAAUCUUGCUUGUACUAAUAACACCAUAGACACUUGACUCUCAUCAUACACAAAUAAAUAUAGAAAUACACAUUGAAGGGAAAAAUAAGAAACGCAUAAGAGAUAAAAAAUUGAUAUACCAACUUAAAUAAGACAAAAU